UCCCUGGAAGUCCAGUGGUUAAAACUCUGUACUCUCACUGUGGAGGGCCUGGGUUCAAUCCCUAGUCAGGGAA
RNAcentral lists this transfer RNA (73 nucleotides) under Bos taurus (domestic cattle). It matches the Rfam family "tRNA". From Rfam's summary of the family: Transfer RNA (tRNA) molecules are approximately 80 nucleotides in length. Their secondary structure includes four short double-helical elements and three loops (D, anti-codon, and T loops). Lineage: Eukaryota; Metazoa; Chordata; Mammalia; Artiodactyla; Bovidae. RNAcentral also lists the same sequence under 5 other names. The record is from Rfam by way of RNAcentral.